AAGCAUCAAAACAUGUAUUUAAUUUAAUAAAUUAAGGAAAGGAAAAAGCUAGAAAAAGAGAAAAAAGAAAUAUCUCAAUGAAGAUUGUAGUCUCUUGACUAAAAAUUUGAUGAAAUUACAAGUUCCAAUCCAACCGGUUGCUGUCUCUUUGUUAUGUGUGAGUGUGUUAGGAGAAAAGGAGCUGAGAGGGAGAGAAUGAGGUUUUGUAUUGGUGUUUGUUUGUGUAGUUGAGAGAAAACAGAGAGUCGAGAAUGAGUGAGAUUUGUUUGUGUUGUUAUUAACCAAAAAAAUGAGAGGAAGGAUUGAGAGAGAGCCGAGAGAAGAGUGAGGGAGAUUGAGUGGAGUGUUUUUUUUUUUUUUUGCUUGUCUGUU
Molecule: long non-coding RNA, 372 nt
Filed under: Coffea arabica (coffee)
Lineage: Eukaryota; Viridiplantae; Streptophyta; Magnoliopsida; Gentianales; Rubiaceae
Description: long non-coding RNA (CARA_LNC002883)
Source: RNAcentral